This 25-nucleotide unclassified non-coding RNA is filed under the name Mus musculus (house mouse). Its description in RNAcentral is "oocyte_clustered_small_RNA12075". Lineage: Eukaryota; Metazoa; Chordata; Mammalia; Rodentia; Muridae. The record is from RNAcentral.
AUCGCAUCAGCUGCUGGGGUGGAGC